UACGAAGGGGGCUAGCGUUGCUCGGAAUCACUGGGCGUAAAGGGCGCGUAGGCGGCGUUUUAAGUCGGGGGUGAAAGCCUGUGGCUCAACCACAGAAUGGCCUUCGAUACUGGGACGCUUGAGUAUGGUAGAGGUUGGUGGAACUGCGAGUGUAGAGGUGAAAUUCGUAGAUAUUUGCAAGAACACCGGUGGCGAAGGCGGCCAACUGGACCAUUACUGACGCUGAGGCGCGAAAGCGUGGGGAGCAAACAGG
Molecule: ribosomal RNA, 253 nt
Filed under: uncultured bacterium
Lineage: Bacteria
Description: partial 16S ribosomal RNA
Rfam family: Bacterial small subunit ribosomal RNA
Source: RNAcentral